RNAcentral lists this transfer RNA (67 nucleotides) under Suhpalacsa longialata. Its description in RNAcentral is "tRNA-Ser". It matches the Rfam family "tRNA". From Rfam's summary of the family: Transfer RNA (tRNA) molecules are approximately 80 nucleotides in length. Their secondary structure includes four short double-helical elements and three loops (D, anti-codon, and T loops). The record is from RNAcentral. Lineage: Eukaryota; Metazoa; Arthropoda; Insecta; Neuroptera; Myrmeleontidae. RNAcentral also lists the same sequence under 1 other name.
AAUUAAUGAGCUUGAACAAGCAUAUGCUUUGAAAGCAUAAAAUAAAAGUAAAAUCUUUUAUUAAUUU